GAGACUCUGUGCGCGUGCAUAUCAAUAAGCGGAGGAAAAGAAACUAACAAGGAUUCCCCUAGUAACGGCGAGUGAAGCGGGAAGAGCUCAAAUUUGAAAUCUUAAAGGGUUUCCCUUUACGAAUUGUAGUUUAUAGAAGUGUUUUCUGUUGGAGUUUCGGUAAAAGUUCUUUGGAAUAGGACAUCAUAGAGGGUGAGAAUCCCGUAUUUGACCGUUACUUUCCAGCUGUGUGAUACACUUUCAAAGAGUCGGAUUGUUUGGGAAUGCAGUCCAAGAUGGGUGGUAAAUUUCAUCUAAAGCUAAAUAUUGGCGAGAGACCGAUAGCGAACAAGUACCGUGAGGGAAAGAUGAAAAGAACUUUGAAAAGAGAGUUAAACAGUACGUGAAAUUGUCAAAAGGGAAGCGUUUGACACCAGUGUUGUUUUUCCGAAAAUCAAUUACGAAUGUUUUGUUUUUGAGAAGUUAUGACUUCAUCGGCUUGCUUCUUUCUUUACGAAACUUUCUUAAUGCACUUUUCGGUUAACAAGUCAACAUCAAUUUCUUUUGUUGUAAAAGGGUCAUUGGAAGGCGGCUUUCACUUCGGUGAAAGUGUUUAUAGCCUUUGGCUUCUACAAUCGGAGAGAUUGAGGUCUGCAGCGUAGAUCCUUCGGGGUUAGAUACGUAGAUGCUAAGUUAUAGUUUUUUAUAGACAGCUUGUUGACUAUGAUUAAUCAUGUAGCUUACUCGUUUACGCUAUUUUACCUACGCUUAGGAUGUUGACAGCAGUAUAGACUGU
Molecule: ribosomal RNA, 775 nt
Filed under: uncultured Neocallimastigales
Lineage: Eukaryota; Fungi; Neocallimastigomycota; Neocallimastigomycetes; Neocallimastigales
Description: partial large subunit ribosomal RNA
Rfam family: Eukaryotic large subunit ribosomal RNA
Source: RNAcentral